CAGGUCUCUCCUGCUGGGCUCUUCGCUCAGAACAAUGGCCAGUGGAACUGAAUGAGCAAUGCUGAUCAUUUUGACCAAAAACAUCAGAUUGGAAAGAAGAACUGGAAUCGGAAGUGAGGUCAAUGAGUGUAACCGCCGGAAGUCAUUUCGUAAGAUUUCAUCAAAAGCCUGAUCUCGUGCAAGAGCUGCUGCAUCAGCCGUCCUCCUCCAGACUUUGAGCUGCUUUAAAUGACUUUAUCACCACAGCAACUGUGUUUCCAAACACACACACAUUCUGGAGGAGGUAAAUGUGGCCACACUGGGCCAAACAUCUACCUGACUGCGCACUUUCACACACUAACAUUACACCUGGUAUUUGUCAUCGUAAACUUGCGAAAUGCCAGUUGACCUGUGAAAUGAUAGUGCUGAGAAAAUUCAUGGAAAAAGCCACGGAUACUUGAAAGAGAUGAAUCAUGUGCCAGCUGGACUAAAUAUUUGGACGUUACUAUUGCAGCUAUCGGUAUUAAAUAUCUACUUAUGUCAGGCCAAAACUUAGCCAACAAAAAAUACAUUUUGCUAACAUUCGA
This is a long non-coding RNA of Cyprinus carpio carpio, 566 nucleotides long. The record is from Ensembl. NCBI's taxonomy places the organism in Eukaryota, Metazoa, Chordata, Actinopteri, Cypriniformes, Cyprinidae.